AUUUCCAAAAUAACUGGUGUGAAAUACAUGGCAUCUAAAUGAUGUUGCAUAUCCCUCACCAAAGAGCAUUUUGGAUGGUCUCUUGAAAUGUUUUCCCUGAACAAAUUAAAGAUUGUUAUUUCAGUUUUGUGUUUUGUUCCCCAAAUGAGCUUAAUCCCAUAGUAAUACUGGUUGCAAACAGUUCAGAUAUUAAUUGCCAUGGCUUCCCGAGCCUUUCCUGACAUCUUCCUUAGGAAAUGGCAUUCUCAGGAAAAAAGUAGAAAGGUUUCCUUUUACAACUGUGAGAAAUUAAGUACAUGGCACUGAUAUGUGGUGGGAAGUGACAGAGGCUGAUACCCUGACUAAACAUGUUUAAUUAGUUGCUAUUGCUGCAAGUUUUAUCCUCACAAGGCUUUGACACCCACUGACAUGCCUGGGCCAGGAGGGCCAGCUCAAGGCAGCCCAGAGCUGCCAGCAUUUUCUUACCACUUGUGUUAACUCUGGCUGGUUUUCAAUGAUAGGGGUCAGAAGGAAAAAAAGCUUCUCCAAUAUUCUACUGUCACAGCUGGUGUGAUAAGGGAACUGGGGGAUAGCCGUGGUGGCUGAGAUGUUCUGCUAGAGUGAGAAACAAGGCAAACCUCCAAACUCCAGGCAGGCACCUGUUAGUUAAGCAGUUCAUGACAAUCUAAAUGAUAACAACUGAAAAAGCAAGCACUUAACAGAUUAGUCAAGUGACAAUAUCAAGACUCCAGUGCUGUACUUUGGUCUCCAAUGGCUUUAGUCUUUGAUGUUUCUUAAUCUCUAAGGUCUAAACUGCUGGGCUCAAGCCUUCUUUGAUAAGAAAGACCCUCACCUUGCUCCUUGCCUUCGCUCCUCCCCGGGUUGUGCUAUCACUGGUGCGUUUAUGUCCUUUUGUUAGAGAAAACCAAUCUGGUCCAAGGGCUCACAACCUCUUUCCGCAGGCCCUCACUGCUCCAGGAUGUCCAGACAGGUGGUGCCCCUGGUGCAGGUCCACUCUGGUGUGACCUGGAUGACCAUCAGAUGUGAUUCCUGCUAAUAGCUACCUACUGGAAUAGCCAGCAGAAUUAAAUAAACUCAUGGCUUGUUUGCAACUGUGCAAAAUGAGUGCAUAUUAUGCAAUGUUUCACUUUCCACCAUGAAUCGAGCAGCUCUGUGGGAUGUCUGGUUUGCAAGGCAAGCAGGCUGCUUUCCACUGGGAGCUACAGUGGUAGUCCAGCCACUCUCCUGGCUGGAACUCUCAAAGGAGCCUCCUGAUUUUCGUCCUCUAUCCAACAAAAAAUUACUGUGGACAGAGUUUUCAAACUCUGUCAUCCAGAGUGCAAGUGUGAACUCUGGUAUAGACCUGAGGACAUCUAAGGUGAAGGUUGGGGUCUGACCCCCAAAGGAAGAGGAGCAAAAGCACAAGCCAGCACAGGGAGGUGCAGUGGGCACCUGAGGAGCACAGGCUGACACACACUCACUCACUAACAGCACUGUCUGGAGCUGCUUUCAGCAGCUUUUAUUAUGUUUCACACUGUAUCUUUGAUCCAAAUGUAUUUUUCUUCGGCAAAAAGCUGUUUAUACCUCCCCUAGCACACAUGCAGGAGGUGUAUUACUCUUUUCUGCAGAUGAUUUAGACAAUUCUCUCCCCUGGCUGCUCUUGAUGCUGCUGGUUCACUUAGACGCUUCAUCUCCCACACACUGUCUCUAAAUUAUUUGUAUUUUUCAGUGUGCCCCGGAAACCUUGCUAAAUCUGUCUUUCAGAUCAGGAAUUCAGUUCCACCCAGAAGCUGAAAAUAUUUGACAACUUUCAGUGUUUUUUCCUUUUCUCUAGAACUUAAAAAUACAGAACCCUGUGAAAAUGAAUGAGAAGCCCUGCUUAUGUAAAGCUGGUAGAGCUUUGCUGCACAUUCAGAUUGUAUUUGAGGCAAAGCUUAACAGAUGAGGUUUUAUAAUUCUUCAUCCCUCCUUCUCUUCCUUGUUUCCCUGUAAUGGAUUUUGAUUUAUUUGGUGAUGGGAUCAGACUUCUCUCCUCUGUAUCAUCAGGAGCCUUCACAAGUUUUCUGCUAAGGGAAGGGAUGGUGAGAUUUGCAUUAUGGUUUUUUGUUAUUUUCCUUCCCCUGCAACUGAGAUUUGAGAAACCCUGCAUGUGAGUAUCUGUCUGUGUAAGCAAAGUAGCAAUGAUCACUUCGAUCAGCUCUGGUACCAGCACUGCCAGCCCUUCUCCCACCGCACACAGGAGCACAUGCCAUAAAUAUGGAGUGACUGCAGCCAGCCAUCUGCAAGAGAACCAACAUUCAGCUGCGAUAAGCAGGAACCCCACUUGCUGCCGCAGAGAAGAAGCUGAAGCUGACCACCACCAGAAGCUGACCUCCUUAUCUUGAUUUUCAUAUGUAAUGAGUAGCUAAAUCUAACACCAAAUGAUUUUAGGAAGAAAAUUCAAAGGCAAGCCAUUUCCUUUGAAAAAGCCAUUUGAAACCUUUGGGGAACAGAUAUGGAAACAUAAUUUAAAACUCAUUUUCCCCCUCAAGUGAUUGGGAUUCAUUUCCAUAAAUACAGUGUUUACUAUGCACAGAGCAUCUCUUCCUCUCUCACCACAAGCCCUGGACACUUUGGACUACUCUUUCGUUCUGUGCUUCCUGUAGAAGUGCUCCCUCAUUCUGCUUGUGUAAUUCAGGUUUGUUUUUAUCUGCAAGAAGAUGCCUCUUCAGUUACUGAGACUGCGCCUGCUGUAGCUGUGGAGAAGUGCCUGGCCUCAGUUGUGCCGCAGUGAAGCAGCACCGCAGUCCCACCUCAAGCCAUGCCAGGGACGUGCGAUCCCAGCUUUGCUCGUGGGCACCUCCACUCAUGACACUCAAGGACUGGGGAGAAGCUGUGCUGUCUGGCACUAUCUCUAUUGGAAAGCACCGUUUGCAUUUGUAAUGCAAAGCAGACAUGAUUUCAGAACCUGAUCUCUCUGACAACAAAGGCUGUAGAAGAUUAGAAAUACUUAGAUUUGAAGUUCAUUAAAAAAUGUAUUUCCCUCUGUAAAAGGAAUUGGUUUUCUUAACUCAUUUGCCUUGCUUUUCUCUUGAAUGUGUAUUUCCGUUUGUGCCUUCAGUGUAUUCUGGUACUUUUAUGAACUGUGGAUGGGUUUUUUUCCACCAAUUAGUUCCUCUGGGACUAUUUUAUUAAAGUCUUUUUGGCAUUUAAAA
This is a long non-coding RNA of Corvus hawaiiensis (hawaiian crow), 3173 nucleotides long. RefSeq lists it as uncharacterized. The transcript is spliced from 3 exons. The record is from RefSeq and is a predicted model, not a curated record. Lineage: Eukaryota; Metazoa; Chordata; Aves; Passeriformes; Corvidae.